AAAUGGACUUUAAUCAGGCAGGCAAUACUUGAACUGUCACUUCUGAACCUCUUGAGCAAAUUUUAAGAGAACUGAUUUAUCUGCUUCCAAGUCAACUGAUCCUAACUAGUUGAAGCCGGUCUACUACCUCUCUGCAUCAUACAGUUGAUCGUGGGGAAACACACAUAUUUCUAGUUUCAGUAAUUUUCCUUUUGUAUCUUGCAUGCAGUCAUUCAGAAAGAGAUAGGAGUGCCUUCUACGCGUAGGGAGUUGGAACUUUAGAAGGAAUGAGGUUGACCUGAUAUGAAUACAUGGAUUGAAGACCUAAAAGCUAUGCGGCAAAAUACAUGCAACAAUCAAGAAGUUUGCAUUCUCUGUUAUUUGCUGAAGUCAAAUGGCUAUACCAUCCAUUUGAAUCCGAAUGGUGUAGUAGCGUUAAUCUUUUCUUCCUUGAAUUGUAUAUUUCGGUUUAAUACUAAAACAGAAAGAGACUAGCAGAACAGUGGCCAUGUGUUUGAGGACAUUUUCUGAGGCAGGCAGAGCAAAAACAACCCAAACGAUACUGCAAAUGAUCAUUUAAACUGUACUUCCUGAUCUUUCAUUCAUUAAGUAAGUUUGUUUAUAAUAGUGUCUUGUACUGUGAGGAUUUACUCCUGUGUAACAUAUAGUCAGAUUUAACCAUAUUUUUUCUUAUCAGCCAUUGUAGUGUCAGUAAUUGGGACUUGUUAUAGGAGGAGAUUAUGCUUUUCAGACUUCAUUGAGUUGCCUUCUAUAAUAACAAUCUGUCACACUCCCCCCCGGUUGUGUUUAGUGAACAAAAUUUACAGGGAUUGAAUUUGGUUGGUGGUUGAUUUUUGUUUAUGA
RNAcentral lists this long non-coding RNA (843 nucleotides) under Solanum tuberosum (potato). Its description in RNAcentral is "long non-coding RNA (STUB_LNC010200)". Lineage: Eukaryota; Viridiplantae; Streptophyta; Magnoliopsida; Solanales; Solanaceae. The record is from RNAcentral.